ACAAAGGGCAGCAAACUCGCGAGAGCUAGCAAAUCCCAUAAACCGUGGCUCAGUUCAGAUCGUAGGCUGCAACUCGCCUACGUGAAGUAGGAAUCGCUAGUAAUCGCAGGUCAGCAUACUGCGGUGAAUACGUUCCCAGGCCUUGUACACACCGCCCGUCACACCAUGGAAGUUGGCCAUGCCCGAAGUCGUUACUCCAACCCUUGUGGAGGAGGACGCCGAAGGUGGGGCUAAUGACUGGGGUGAAGUCGUAACAAGGUAGCCGUACCGGAAGGUGCGGCUGGAUCACCUCCUAA
RNAcentral lists this ribosomal RNA (296 nucleotides) under uncultured Prochlorococcus sp. RNAcentral's name for it is "partial 16S ribosomal RNA". It matches the Rfam family "Bacterial small subunit ribosomal RNA", at positions 1239 to 1533 of the family's 1533-position model. The record is from RNAcentral. Lineage: Bacteria; Bacillati; Cyanobacteriota; Cyanophyceae; Synechococcales; Prochlorococcaceae.